Molecule: ribosomal RNA, 653 nt
Filed under: uncultured Candidatus Poseidoniales archaeon
Lineage: Archaea; Methanobacteriati; Thermoplasmatota; Candidatus Poseidoniia; Candidatus Poseidoniales
Description: bacterial SSU rRNA
Rfam family: Archaeal small subunit ribosomal RNA
Source: RNAcentral
ACGGGUGUUGGGAGACAUAGCCCGGAGAUGGAUUCUGAGACACGAAUCCAGACCCUACGGGGUGCAGCAGGCGCGAAAACUUGGCAAUGCGAGCAAUCGUGACCAGGGAACUCCAAGUGGCUGGGGUAAUACCCAGUUUUUUCUUGACUCUUCAAAGGUCUUGGAAUAAGGGGUGGGUAAGGACGGUGCCAGCCGCCGCGGUAAUACCGGCGCCUCAAGUGGUAGUCGCUUUUAUUGGGCCUAAAACGUCCGUAGCCGGUCUGGUGCAUUCGUGGGUAAAUCAACCCGCUCAACGGGUUGAAUUCUGCGAGCACGGCCAGACUUGGGACCGGGAGAGGUGUGGGGUACUCUCAGGGUAGGGGUAAAAUCCUGUCAUCCUGAGAGGACCACCUGUUGCGAAGGCGCCACACUAGAACGGAUUCGACGGUCAGGGACGAAACCUAGGGGCACGAACCGGAUUAGAUACCCGGGUAGUCCUAGGUGUAAACGCUGUGGACUUGAUGUUGGGGGUGCUCCGAGCACUCUCAGUGUCGAAGCGAAGGUGAUAAGUCCACUGCCUGGGGAGUACGGUCGCAAGGCUGAAACUUAAAGGAAUUGGCGGGGGAGCACUGCAACCUGAGGAUUGUGCGGUUUAAUUGGACUCAACGCCGGGA